AAGUCGUAACAAGGUCUCCGUUGGUGAACCAGCGGAGGGAUCAUUACUGAGUAUCUUACUCUCUACCCUUUGUGAACUAUUAUACCUGUUGCUUCGGCGGCGCGCCCCCCGGGGCGUGCCCGCCGGUAUCAUCAGAAUCUCUGUUUGAACCCGACGAUACAUCUGAGUGUUCUAAGCGAACUGUUAAAACUUUCAACAACGGAUCUCUUGGCUCCA
Molecule: unclassified non-coding RNA, 216 nt
Filed under: fungal sp.
Lineage: Eukaryota; Fungi
Description: partial internal transcribed spacer region
Rfam family: Eukaryotic small subunit ribosomal RNA (bases 1-46)
Source: RNAcentral